This is a ribosomal RNA of Gorilla gorilla gorilla (western lowland gorilla), 125 nucleotides long. The record is from Ensembl. NCBI's taxonomy places the organism in Eukaryota, Metazoa, Chordata, Mammalia, Primates, Hominidae.
GUCUACGGCUAUACCACCCUGAACGUGCCCGAUCUCGUCUGAUCUCGGAAGCUAAGCAGGGUCGGGCCUGGUUAGUACUUGGAUGGAGAAAUUAUAUUCACCUGAGAUACAUGGUCCCUUAAAUA